CCUACGGGGUGCAGCAGUGGGGAAUAUUGGGCAAUGGGCGCAAGCCUGACCCAGCAACGCCGCGUGAAGGAAGAAGGCGUUCGGGUUGUAAACUUCUUUUCUCAGGGACGAAGCAAGUGACGGUACCUGAGGAAUAAGCCACGGCUAACGACGUGACAGCAGCCGCGGUAAUACUUAGGUGGCAAGCGUUAACCGGAUUUACUGGGUGUAAAGGGCGUGUAGGCGGGACUGCAAGUCAGAUGGGAAAACCACGGGCUCAACCGGUGGCCUGCAUUUGAAAUUGUAGUUCUUGAGUACUGGAGAGGCAGACGGAAUUCCUAGUGUAGCGGUGAAAUGCGUAGAUAUUAGGAGGAACACCAGUGGCGAAGGCAGUCUGCUGGACAGCAACUGACGCUGAGGCGCGAAAGCGUGGGGAGCAAACAGGAUUAGAUACCCCAGUAGUC
RNAcentral lists this ribosomal RNA (443 nucleotides) under uncultured bacterium. RNAcentral describes it as "partial 16S ribosomal RNA". It matches the Rfam family "Bacterial small subunit ribosomal RNA", at positions 338 to 795 of the family's 1533-position model. The record is from RNAcentral.